Molecule: ribosomal RNA, 333 nt
Filed under: Heterometrus thorellii
Lineage: Eukaryota; Metazoa; Arthropoda; Arachnida; Scorpiones; Scorpionidae
Description: partial small subunit ribosomal RNA
Source: RNAcentral
AAAAAUAUUAAAAAUUGGGUAGUAAAGGAGUUUCCGAAACCUAAAGGACUUGGCGGUAUUUUAAAUAAUUGGAGGAACUUGUUAUUUAAUUGAAACUACACAACAUAUCUUUCCAUGUUUUUGUUUGUAUAUCAUUGUUUAAAGACGACAUUUUUUAAUAUAGUCUAAAAUAGUAUUGUUCAAUAAAUCAAAUCAAGGCGCAGCAUAACAUGGUUAUGAUGAGUUACAAUGAAACUUAUUCAUGACGGAAAUAAAAAAUAAAAAUAUAUAGAAGGUGGAUUCAAAAAUAAUAAGAAAUUAAAAAGUUUUUAUGAAUAAUAAUUUAAAAUAUGC